RNAcentral lists this ribosomal RNA (497 nucleotides) under uncultured bacterium. RNAcentral's name for it is "partial 16S ribosomal RNA". It matches the Rfam family "Bacterial small subunit ribosomal RNA", at positions 28 to 507 of the family's 1533-position model. The record is from RNAcentral.
GAUGAACGCUGGUGGCGUGCCUAAUACAUGCCAGUCGAGCGAACGGACGAGAAGCUUGCUUUUCUGAUGUUAGCGGCGGACGGGUGAGUAACACGUGGAUAACCUACCUAUAAGACUGGGAUAACUUCGGGAAACCGGAGCUAAUACCGGAUAAUAUUUUGAACCGCAUGGUUCAAAAGUGAAAGACGGUCUUGCUGUCACUUAUAGAUGGAUCCGCGCUGCAUUAGCUAGUUGGUAAGGUAACGGCUUACCAAGGCAACGAUGCAUAGCCGACCUGAGAGGGUGAUCGGCCACACUGGAACUGAGACACGGUCCAGACUCCUACGGGAGGCAGCAGUAGGGAAUCUUCCGCAAUGGGCGAAAGCCUGACGGAGCAACGCCGCGUGAGUGAUGAAGGUCUUCGGAUCGUAAAACUCUGUUAUUAGGGAAGAACAUAUGUGUAAGUAACUGUGCACAUCUUGACGGUACCUAAUCAGAAAGCCACGGCUAACUACGUG